This 301-nucleotide ribosomal RNA is filed under the name uncultured bacterium. RNAcentral describes it as "partial 16S ribosomal RNA". It matches the Rfam family "Bacterial small subunit ribosomal RNA", at positions 509 to 807 of the family's 1533-position model. The record is from RNAcentral.
CAGCAGCCGCGGGAAUGCGUAGGUGGCAAGCGUUGUCCGGAAUUAUUGGGCGUAAAGGGCUCGCAGGCGGUUUCUUAAGUCUGAUGUGAAAGCCCCCGGCUCAACCGGGGAGGGUCAUUGGAAACUGGGAAACUUGAGUGCAGAAGAGGAGAGUGGAAUUCCACGUGUAGCGGUGAAAUGCGUAGAGAUGUGGAGGAACACCAGUGGCGAAGGCGACUCUCUGGUCUGUAACUGACGCUGAGGAGCGAAAGCGUGGGGAGCGAACAGGAUUAGAUACCCCUGUAGUCCCUGUCUCUUAUAC